AGCGAACGUUUGCGGCGGGCUUAACACAUGCAAGUCGAACGAGAAUCCCUUCGGGGAGGAAAGUGGCGCACGGGUGCGUAACACGUGGAUAACCAACCCAUUGGUUUGGGACAACACCGGGAAACUGGUGCUAAUACCAGAUGUGUCGCAGCUGUCUUCAGGCGGUUGCGAGAAAGGCCCGCAAGGGUCGCCAACGGACGGGUCCGCGUCCCAUCAGCUAGUUGGUGAGGUAAUGGCUCACCAAGGCAAAGACGGGUAGCUGGUCUGAGAGGAUGAUCAGCCACACUGGAACUGAGACACGGUCCAGACUCCUACGGGAGGCAGCAGUGGGGAAUAUUGCGCAAUGGGCGAAAGCCUGACGCAGCCACGCCGCGUGAGCGAUGAAGGUCUUCGGAUCGUAAAGCUCUGUGGGGGAGAAGAAGAAAGCCGGUGAAGAGCCGGCCUGACGGUAUCCCCUUAGCAAGCACCGGCUAACUCCGUGCCAGCAGCCGCGGUAAAG
Molecule: ribosomal RNA, 499 nt
Filed under: uncultured bacterium
Lineage: Bacteria
Description: bacterial SSU rRNA
Rfam family: Bacterial small subunit ribosomal RNA
Source: RNAcentral